RNAcentral lists this long non-coding RNA (832 nucleotides) under Triticum aestivum (bread wheat). RNAcentral describes it as "long non-coding RNA (TAES_LNC028531)". The record is from RNAcentral. Lineage: Eukaryota; Viridiplantae; Streptophyta; Magnoliopsida; Poales; Poaceae.
UUUGAGGUGCGGUCAGUGGCACCUCUAUGUUCUCAAAUUCACUCAGAUCAACCCCAAUCUCAUUUGUUUGGACAGUACCAGGACCAUAGAAAAAUAUGAACGUCACUACAUCAAACAUCUCGGUUCACCUAUAAAAUUAUUUAACAUGGACAGACAACUGUUAAACGUCAUGACAAACUAAACAUAUUCACAGUCCUAAUUGACACACCUAAAAUUAUUACGUAAUAUUAAUGGAUAAACUAAAAUUAUUCACACACCUAAAAAUAUUUAAGUACUAAAUAUUUUUAGGAUAUUACCGGAACAACUUCAAAAUUGAUACAACAACAUGUUUGACAUAUAUAUAUAUAUAUAUAUAUAUAUAUAUAUAUAUAUAUAUAUAUAUAUAUAUAUAGUACAUAUAGUACCGCACCAACUAAAAUAAACGAACAUCCUUUUUUUGCGGGAAAACUGACAUCCACAUCCACAUAUAACACGCCAUAUUAUUGGAGCAACUGAAUAUAUUCACACAACUAAAUAUUAGACAUCCAAAAAUAUAACGGUUACUACUGGAGCAAAUACCAAUAUUCGCACACCUAAUACAAAAUAUUAGUGGAGCAAAUAACAUCUACAAUAUUCGCACAACAUCUACCGGAGAAAAUGUCUGUAAAAUUAUACCCUUGAAGCGUGCGAAGCAACGCCGACGAACAUCGGCCUUCAAUCACCGGAGCCGGAGCUUCACGUCCACCACAGUGCCGCAGCUUCAUCAGUUCAUCUUCACCUCCACCACCUCCACAAAAUUGCUCACCACCAUCUCCACCACCUCCACAAAAAUGCUCACCACGACCACCACGAG